UGUCUUCGGGGCAGGGUGAAAUUCCCUACCGGCGGUAAAGCCCGCGAACUAUUUUUAUAGUUGAUUUGGUGAAAUUCCAAAGCCGACAGUAAAGUCUGGAUGAGAGAAGAA
Molecule: non-coding RNA, 111 nt
Filed under: uncultured Intestinibacter sp.
Lineage: Bacteria; Bacillati; Bacillota; Clostridia; Peptostreptococcales; Peptostreptococcaceae
Description: FMN riboswitch (RFN element)
Rfam family: FMN riboswitch aptamer (RFN element)
About the family: The RFN element is a highly conserved domain that is found frequently in the 5'-untranslated regions of prokaryotic mRNAs that encode for flavin mononucleotide (FMN) biosynthesis and transport proteins.
Source: RNAcentral